AUUGAUGAUUGUACAGUAGUGUUUAUUAGAUACAGAACCAACAGUGCGCCAUCACUUUUUAGUGGUGGUGUCAAAAGAGAAGGGUGAUUCAUAGUAACCGAACGGAUCGCAUCAUAUUAUAAUCAUUUCGGUGAUUGGCGAUAGAUCAUUCAAGUUUCUGACCUAUCAUCUUUCGACGGUAGUGUAUUGGACUACCGUGGCAGUGACGGGUAACGGGGAAUUAGGGUUCGAUUCCGGAGAGGGAGCCUGAGAAACGGCUACCACAUCUAAGGAAGGCAGCAGGCGCGCAAAUUACCCAAUCCUGACUCAGGGAGGUAGUGACAAGAAAUAACAACACUGGAAAUUGUAUUUCUAGUGAUUGGAAUGAUGGGAAUCCAAACCCCUUUCAGAGUAACAAUUGGAGGGCAAGUCUGGUGCCAGCAGCCGCGGUAAUUCCAGCUCCAAUAGCGUAUAUUAAAGUUGUUGCAGUUAAAAAGCUCGUAGUUGGAUAUCUGCUGGAAGCAAUCAGUCCGCCCUUUUCGUAAGGGUGUGCACUUGAUGAAUUCUGGCAUGAUUUCAUCCUAAUAAUAAUAUAUUAUUAUAUUAGGUUGAUUCCUAGUAUAAUAAUAUUUAUUAUUAUGGGGAUGACAGUUACUUUGAGAAAAUUAGAGUGUUUGAAGCAGGCUUUUGUUGCCUUGAAUACUGCAGCAUGGAAUAACAAUAUAGGAUUUCGGUUCUAUUAUUUUGUUGGUUUUUU
This 736-nucleotide ribosomal RNA is filed under the name Sarcocystis gigantea. RNAcentral's name for it is "SSU rRNA". It matches the Rfam family "Eukaryotic small subunit ribosomal RNA", at positions 185 to 856 of the family's 1831-position model. Lineage: Eukaryota; Apicomplexa; Conoidasida; Eucoccidiorida; Sarcocystidae. The record is from RNAcentral.